AGUAGUCCUGAGAAAGUGGAAACAUGUAUUAAAUAGGUAAUAAUUUAAAAAAAUUAUUGUUAUGAUUGAAAAGACACAAAAAAUGAAAUUACAUGACAUAAUAAUAAUUAAAGGAAAUAAAAAACGCUUUUUCUCUCCAAUUACUUUUGGAAUAUUUUUAUUUGCAGCAACCCGUUUCGGAUGAAAUCCUUGAUAACAUCGUUAGUUUAUUCGCAAGUAUCCCCAAGGACAGGCAGUAGAAGUAGCCACACAACACAUCGAUCGAGCGGAAAGAGCAAGAGGGAACAAAGAAAUUCUAAAGAACAUCAGCUCUUUCCCCAAUAUUGGCGGGAAUGGUAACUGAUAAACUUGGACAACGAACACUAGAGAACAGAGAAUUCUAAGAGCAAAUAAUAAUUUGGAUACGUUAUGUAAAUGACAUUUUCUGCGUCUCGAAAGAAGAGGGAGAAAGAAAUUAAAAGAAUUUUUCGAACACAUCAAUAAAUUAGACUAGAAUAUCUGUUUCACAAAUUGAAACAAAUAAUAAUUUAAUAAUUUUUUUAGAUAUCAGCAUAACAGGAAAAAAGAACAAACUAAAAUUAUUAGCAACUCACAGGAAAAAAAUAUGUGGAGAUACUACUAUCAAUAAAACGUCCCAACAUCCACACAUACCACAAAUCACCCGAUUUAGAGCUUUAUACAGGGUUUUUAUAAACGAUUCUAAGGGCGUAGUUGGCCAGGGAUUUAAAAAUCCCGCUUCGAUGAAAUUAUGUCCCAUUAUGACAGUUCUUACUUGUCAUUAAUGUCAUUUGUAACCUGUCAUUUAGAGUCAUCGCUUUUGUUGUUCUAACGUUUUCCAAGUGUGAAUUACAGUAAUUCUCGUUGAUCCAAGCUCAAAACAACAAAACCGUCGCUUUCAAAACUUUUGGUGCUUGUGUACGAAAAUUUUGUUUUCGUGCUUCGAUGCGAAGAUCGUAAAAGUGGUUUAUUCUGUUGAACAAGACAUUUUCAUUGUUAUCGCAAUGGGACAUUCUUAAACGAAGAGUGUGUGUUUUCUGUAACCGCUUGUAAGCAAAAAUAUCUGGCCAAAUACCGUGAUUUAAUAAUUCAAGAAACAUCGUUAGAAGCUCACAUUAGAGAUGUAAUCAACAGAUUUGUUCGAUCUGGCAGUGUCAACAAAGGAAAGUCUCCUGGAAGAGCUGCAAUAUCUGAGGAAGUUGUUGAUGAUUUGAGAUGAUUCGAGCGGAAUCCGCAAACAUCUUUGGCAAGAUUGUCUCAGCAGUCAGGAGUUCCUGUUGCAACGUGAAAUCGAACAAUGGGUCCAAACUUGAGGAAAGGUUGUUACAGAACAUUUUUGAAAUUAAAAAGAGAGUGAAUACGUGCACUGAACAAAAUGUAAGAUAUGAACAAUUUAGGCAACCAGAUAUACUGUGUCGUAAAUCCUUUGGCAUUUAGCAAACUCCACAUAAAGUGAUAGGCAGCACGCUUCCAUGACCUAUUUCGACCCUAUAAUAAUUUUUAGAUACCCCGUUCAAUUGAAUUAAAAACACAAACAUAAUAUGAAGAAAAUGACAAAGAAGAUAAGAUCAUCGCACAUAUAGCCUUCAACAACGAGUAUUUCUUAGAAGAUAUAAAUUAUAUAUUCACGAAAAUAAACGAACCAAGAGGAAUAGAAGAAAAAUAUAAAGGAAAAUAAGAUAGAAAUAAAGAAAUAGAUAAUGUAUAUAGCAGAAUUUUGUACAUUGGCGGUGUAUCGAAGGAAAUUAAAAAAAUCAUAGAAUAAUUUAACAUAACAAUUACUGUAGAAUGCACAAAUGAUAUCCCCACAUUGUUCAACCAAUAAGGUGAAAUCAAUAAAGAAGGUAGGAGAUGAAUCAGCUGUAAAGAAUGCGGGGCAACAUACAUUGGAAAAAUAGGUACAAGCAUCAAACAAAGAAUAAAAGAACAUGCAACAACACCUUGUUAGACAUAAGGAAAACACAAAGAAGAAUUAACCGUAACCACUGACAAAAAGAUGACCAGCAAUAUCCAACAAGGUAAAAGCGACAAAAAAUUUUAAAUUUUCGGGGGAAAUCAAAAAACGUAACACUGCGUGACUUUAAAAAGAAUAUUAUCGUUUAUUGUAAGUGUUUUUAAAAUACAUUUUAAUUUGUAUAGUGUGUCAGCUCAUAAGAAAACAGACAUUUUAUGUAGAUUUGCAAAAUUUUUGACAGGUAGGACUUAUAUAAAAAAUGAGGUGCUGUACACCACCAAUUGAAUUUAAAUUGUAGAAUCGGCGUGAUCAAAUAUUUUAUCCGAAACCUGUUCCCCGUAAAUAAAAAUGUUCCAAAAAUAAGUGGAAAGAAAAAGCGUUUUUUUCAAGGGCAUUGAUAUCAAGAAAAGAAUAAGUAAGAUUUUACUUACAUUUUGCAUAGAGUUAAUAACAACGUAAUGUUUCAAAAUCAUAGCGUUGUAAGGUUGCCUCGAUUCCUAGAAUCACAUCUAAUCUAUUGCUUUUAGAUAUGCUGAGUGAUCUGUUCUUCCUGUUGACAAUUAGAAGUAAACAUAAAUCAUAAUUUUCGUCCACCGUAUACAAGUUUGCUAAAAUGCUAAAACCAGAGUAUAUUAAAUACGGCGAAUCUUGGUUUUCCUUCUUACCUUACGAACAGCUGUCAGUAGUUAAGUUUAUAAUCUGCUUCCCUUUUAGUUGAUAAGUUACGUUGAAUUUUGGUAAUUAAUCUUGAAAGAUUAUUUGUCGUAUUUAUAUCUCAAUUGUUGUGUUGCCAGUUGAUCGUUGUAAAUGUUAGUAAAAAUCGGUAAGAAAAUCUUGAGGCAAUACUAAAUGGUGCCAGGCUAUAGCUUCAAAUUCCAAUUUAUAUAUUUCUAAUGUAGUCACGACAGGACAAAGCAGACGUGAUGAAGUGAUGUAGAGAAACUUUUGUUAUUAAAUGUACAUCGAUAUACCAACUAAUAUCAGUCAUAAUCCAACAAUUUAAGGUAACAUCAGUUGAUGAGUGAUGAACACUAACUUUUUCUUCUUAAUUUUUAAAUACUUUGCAUUCCACUUAUUUAUUAUUUUCGUGAUUUUUCGAGUUAUUUUUUUCUCAGAUUACCAUUUCAGGAAGUUUCGUUACACAUAGCUUUACGCGGCGAAUGUACUUGCAAAAAUAUGAAAUCUGUAGAAUUUAGCCAUUUAUGUUAUCGGGUUUAUAUAUGAACGAUUUCUUUGAAGCGAGUGUACAAAUUGCCCUUCGUAAAAUUGCUCCUUGUUAAAAUGAAAAUCGACACUUUUUAAAUUGCAUAUACAAAAGAAGCGUUCGUGUCCCAUUAUUUCUUUAAAAACUCUUUUGGUUAAUGGUGUACGUUAAAUUUGUCUUGGAUGGAUGCCAACUAAGGCUGUCAAAAUAACUUAAUUUAUUGUCAUGACGUUUUAAAAUAAAGGCGUUAUAUUUCCCCAAUAAAACAUAGUAUAAAAAGGCUUGUUUUACUUCGUAAAAUCUUGAACUGGUGUCAUAAUAGUGAGUUUAUGAAACAUGUUCUUUAAAGCAUUAUUUUAUUGUGCACCUAAUAAAAUUUCCAAAGGAACAGCACAUAAUGUCUACUUUAGUAGUAUCAUUUUUGGUUACCUAUUUAUUAACUAUACUAACAGAGAGACGUAACAUUAAAACAUACUCUACAACUCACUACAUUACGCUGCAAUUAAAUCGCUUAGAGGCGCUUUGGUUCCUAUUUUCCCUUUUUGAAACAUCAUAAAAUGGUGUGCCACGUUUUUGUUUAGCGCUAUUGAUUUUGCCACCAUGUGUCACCAAGUACUGAACAGUAGUUUCCUGGCCUGUCCGGAAAGCUACAUCUAGUGAUGUCAUACUUUCCCGAUUAGUGCGAUUGAUUUCAGCACCGGCUUUUAUCAAACAUUCUAUAAUAGCGUCAUGUCCGUGCGCGGAAGCCAUAUGCAGGGGUGUCCAACCAUCGUCAUUACCACGAUUGGUUUCAGCACCGACUUUAAGUAGAUAUUCCACAAUUUUUUCAUGGCCCUUUCGACAAGCUGCGUGAAGAGGAGUCAGACCCUCAUUACUAACGGGAUUGAUUUCGGCGCCGGCUUUCACUAAACAUUCCACAGUUUUUUCGUGUCCGCAUUCUACCGCUGUAUGAAGUGGUACCCAACCCAUAUUAUCAAAUCGAUUGAUUUCAGCGCCAGCUUUCACUAAAAAUUGCACAGUCUCUUCGUGGCCCUUUUGACAAGUUGCCGAAAGUGGCGUGCUGCCGUCAUUAUCAGAACAAUUGACAUCGACCCCGACUUUCACUAAGAAUUUGACAAUAUUUUGGUGACCGUGUCGGGAAGCGGAAUGGAGUGGUGUUUGACCCCUUUUAUUAAAACGAUUGAUAUCGGCGCCAGCUUUUGCCAGAUCUUUGACAAUUUCGUCGUGGCCAUAUUUCGCGGCUAUGUGGAAUGGUGUCCAACCCAUAGCUUCAGCGCAGUUGAUGUCGGCGCCGGCUUUCACCAGGUGUGUCACAGCUUUACCGUGGCCUCUAUGACAAGCUACGUGAAGUGGUGUCGCACCCUCCUUAUUACCUCGAUUGAUUUCGGCACCGGCUUCUAGUAAGUAACUAAUAAUUUUUUCGUAGCCGUAUUGGGACGCAAGGUGCAGCGAAGUCCAACCAUCACCAUAAGCCCGAUCAAUUUCGCUGCCGGCUUUCACUAAAUAUUGUACAGUUUUUUCGUGGCCGUUGCGCGUAGCUAAGUGAAGUGGUGUCUCACUCUUUCUAGAAAGACAGUUGAUUUCGGCGCCGACUUUUACUAAAUAUUGUACAAUUUCUUCGUGACCAUUCUGUGACGCUACGUGAAGUGGUGUCACGUUUUCAAGGUUAGACCAAUUGAUUUUGGUGCCGUUUUCGACUAAGUAUUUGACAAUUUUUCCGUAGCCAUACUCGCACGCUGCAUGAAGUGGUAUCCAACCCAAAUUAUCGGGGCAAUUAAUCUCUGCACCUGCUGUCACUAAGAUUUCGACAAUAUUUUCGUGACCGCUUUGCGAGGCUACGUAAAGUGGUGUCGCACCAUCGUAAUUACCACGAUUGAUUUGGGCGCCAACUUUCACUAAGUAGACAAUAACUUGUUCCUGGCCAUUUUGAGAAGCAACAUGAAGUGGUGUCUCACCCUUGUUACAAACGAGACCGAUUUCGGCGCCAUUUUUGACUAAGCAUUCAAGAGUUUUUCCGUGGCCAUUGAAGGAAGCUAUGUGAAGUGGUGUCCAGCCCUCACUGUCAGUGCAAUUAAUCUUAGCGCCAAUAUUCAGUAAGGAUUGUACAGUUUUUGCCUGACCUUUAAAAGAAGCCGCAUGAAGUGGUGUUCCACCCAAGUUAUCAGGGCGAUUGAUAUCGGCACCGCCUUUCGCUAAGCAGAUCACCGUUUCUUCGUGACCAUUAAAUGAUGCCACAUGAAGUGGUGUCACACCCUCUUUACAAUCGCGAUUUAUUUGGGUCCCGGCUUUCACUAACGACUCUACAAUUUUUCCGUAGCCAUUUAGCGAAGCUGCAUAAAGUGGUGUCUUUCCGGAUUUACUAACGCAGUCAAUUUCGACACCAGAUUUUAGCAAAUAUUUAACAAUUGUUAGAUGACCACUUUCGGAUGCCAACAAAAGAGGAGUUUUAGCCGUUUCUGCGGUAGUAAAUUUCACUUGGUGCCAAAGGUUACUUAAUUCUUGAACCGUAAAUAAUUUACACACCUCAUCGUAGCCUAGCAAAGAGGAAUAAUACAAGAGGUUUAUUAUUUCAUUACAAGUGCAUGAUCGAUUUAAGGCAGAGUUUAUGGUUUGAAGUAAUUUUAGUUCCGCCCCUAAACUCUCGCUUUUUCUGGCGUAAGACAGUGGCGUCGCACCCAAUAACACGUCAUUUUCGUCAACAUCGUUCUUGCUUUGUAAAUACCUAACAGUUUUAAAAUACGCUUCUUUUUCCGCUUUUUUACUGAAACUGUUGUUUUCGUGUACAAUAUACUGUCCAGGUACACCCGUUAUUUUUACUUGCGGGUGUCUUUGUCCCCAUGAGGAAAUCAAAUGUAAAACACUUCGGCCACCGUUAUCUUUACGUGUUAAAAUUUCAUCAUCAAACGUUUGAAGUAAUUCGUAGUUUUUAUAUAAGACGGCUAUGUGCACUUUCGAGUUUUCGGCCAUCAACACGUCAAAGAAAAACCGGACGUUAUUGUACUUAGCGUCAAAUAUUACGUCCACGAGUGUGUUUUUAAUAUUAUCAAAAUGUUUUGAAAAAUAUGUAGCAACUAAAUAUUCCGCGAAAGAGCCAUGAAGAAAACGUGGCACACUAUUUUGAAAGUCUUUAACAAGACCAAGGGACGAAUAUCUUUGCAAAACUUUUUCCAUGUGCUUUUCACAAUCGAUGUUUAAUCGCUGUAAAAUUUCUCCAGGAAAUACGACUUUAAAUGCGAUACUUUCGUAAUGAGCUAAAGCUUUUCGUUUUUUCUCACGAAUUAUGCUUUCCAUGUGGGGAUUUUGAACAUCGAAUCCCAUUUUAUCUUUGUAAAAACUAUUAAAUUUUUCCUCAAUAAAAUAUUCAUAUAAGUCGGUCAAAAGAAACGAGUUUUCCAUUAGUCUCAAAUAUUUGUCUUUAUUUUGGCGAAAUAGUUCUGUAGUCAUGAAUAUUUGAAGCGGAAUUCCUAAUAUGUCCACAUGCUGUACAACCGCAAAUGAUGAUUUAAUUUUUUCUACGGUGACCUCAAUUUCGUCACCAGAAACCGAAAAAGUUAGACGUUUUCUUAUGUAAUCUUGUUGUUCUUGUUCACUGAACUGAUUUAUAGCCAGCGAAAGCAAACUAAUUUUUUUUUCUAGAAAUGUUCUUAGAUGGGUUCGACUGGUGAUCCAUUGAAGGCAACCUUUUUUCGAGAGGUGGAAGAUUAUUUUUGAAACGGCGUCUAAAUUUUCGCUUAGGAUUUCGUCAAGUGCAUCCCACACAUAAAUAACACGGUUUUUCUUAACACACAUUUCGAAAAAGCUUUGAUCUAAGGUUUUGAAUGAUCGAUUUUUUUCUUUCAUGAUAAAUGUUUCAAAUAAAUCUGUUUCAGAAAAUUUGCUAUGGUUAAAAAAUGAAUUAACUUCUUUAGGGUGAAUUAUGACUGUCCAAUAUUCGCGUGGGGCUUUAUUUUUAAAGCUUUUCAUUAGCUCAGAUUUACCCAUUCCUGGAUCGCCAGUUAUUAAAUUAAUAUUGUUAUCUAAUCGGGAAGACCAAAGUGCGUGUUCGUUAAUAAAAUAUUUGCCAGAAAAUUUAUAACUCUCUAAAUCACUAACAUCACCUCUGCUUUUAAUCCACUCCAAAUUUCCAUCAUUUAAAAGUUUAAAGUAGUGAAUUGUUUUGAUUUCUGUGUUUUCACUGCAAAUUUGUUGUAACUCUGAAUCAGUGUAAUUCCUAUUACCUACAUAGAUCGUGUUAACAAAGGUGGAUUUAUCAAGAUUAAAAGUAUCUUUGUGUUUACUUCGAUUAAAUAUAAACUUAUGCAAUUCAUUGUUCGUUAAAUUUUCAAAGUUUUGAUUCUUUUUCUGUAAAAAGUUAUCGAUGUCAAUUAAUUUGUAUUUGCUAAGUUUGUCUUUUACUUUGUCUAAAUUAUUUGCACAAUUUAAGACAAGUGUCGUAUUUUCUUGAACUUUUUCUAGGUACGCGAUACUAAUAAUAUUUCUAGAAAGAUAGCGUUCAAUGUAGGGUUCAGGAAGUGUUUCUUUUUCUCCGCCUAUAUUACAUGGACCAUUUAGCAUUUCCACCAAAUUGUCUGUUGUAAUAAUUUCUAAAAAUGGUUCAUCAUUACCGAAAGCGCUUAAAAGAUCAAGUUCUUUCUUUUUUUGGAUAGAUAUUGUAAAACUGUGCAUCACUCUUUCACGCAUGUCACGCUUCUGAGACAAGUCCGAUAAAUUUCGAAACACCGAAUAAUUUGUCAUCCAUCCCUUCUUCUUGUCUGCACCAACCAAGAUGAACUUUUUCUCUGGACAGAGCUGCAUGACUGUCUCAAAGCCUUCAAACUCAUGAACUAUCAGUGGACAUUUGUCCAUUAUCCAUAAUAUUUGACUAAAUGCCAUUACGUUUAAGUUAUUCCCAUCGAUGCAACUGGUGGCAAGUUGAUAAUUUCUUCCAACUCUAGUUAAUUCAGUAACGUCGAUCUUGUCUUCUCUACUGUCACCCCACAUUUGUUUAACCGUUUCACAUGAUUUUUCCCCAAAUAAUGUGAUGUCGAACUGCGCAAUAACUUCUCGAAAAAUUUUCGUCCUCUCGUUUACUGAACCAAGGGAUAAAGGCUCGAUGUGAGAACACAGAAGCUGCAGCGCAAUUACCGUCCUCAUCCACUUUUUGGUUAGUUUUGCCUUACUACCUUCUUGCAUGUUCCAUUUAGAUAUCAUUUUAAAAACUUUGUCGAAUAUGUCCUCGUUUGAAGUAUAUGUUGCUCUGAAUUUGUUCAUCGUUGAAUUUCUCAUACUAUCAAAAUUUUCUUGAUCGGUGUAUAGAUAAAAUUUUUCAAAAAAGGCUUUAUAUUCUUGAAUUUUGGGAAGGUUUCCUGUGGUCGAUGGAUCUUCGACUACGUGAAACUGAUAAACCCGAUUUGCUUUUUCUGAAACUUCUAAGCUGCCUUUUGCUUCAAUCGGCUGAAUAUAAAACGCCUCUUCUUCGAGCUGAAAUUUUACAUUGUCGUUGCAAUUGAAUGGACGAUUGGUGAAGAGUAUAAAUUCGUCUGUAGUACUCCCUAUUUCUUGGUAACAUUUGAAAUAUUUACUAAUACUGAAAUCCCCUUUUUUGGAUUUUAAAUGUUCUGUGGACAAUAUUUUUCUCUCGCUGUGCUUCAACUGCAUUGCUAUCACAUCGAUACCUUUAUUUGAUUCAAGUUUGACGACUAAGUCGUCAAAUGCUCCAAAUUGUUCAUCGUUUGACGAGAGAUGAAAAUUUUUGACAGUAUCGUCGGUUAUUAGUUGGAGGAUAACUUUGGUGAUAACGGCAUUCUCGUAUUCCUUACCCUUAUCCGUCGUUCCAGUCCUUUUGCGAAAAAUCUGAAACAUCCACAAACAUAGAUGACAAGAGUAUAUUAAGUAACAAGGAAACAAAAAAGAGCGUAAUCUCAUGACUUGAGCAGGAACCGCAAAAAAUGAAGCAUUUAGUUAUACGGAUGCGUAUGGGUUUUUUCGAGAGUCCUUGGGCAUUUAGUAAAAUACAAUAAAGUGAGAGGCGGCACGCAUCCAUGACUUAUUUUGGCCCUGUAUUCAUUUAUAGAAACUCUGUAUCUCUCUCAAUUAACAAAAGAGUUGUUACGAUGUAAUCUGAGAGAACACAUAAAUAGUAUUCAGUUAUAAAUUAAAUAUACAGGGUGUUUUGGAGCAUAUGCGUCAAAUUUCGGAUGCAAAUUCUGUCGUUUCUUUAAAAAAAUAAUAACAUUUUUCUUAAAAUUAUUCCUUUUCAUCCUGGAAGUCUUUGGAAUUUAACACUACCUUCAUUAUUCAGCGAAUUUCAUUAUAUAAGUUUCGUAAAUCUCUGGCAAUGAAAAAUGUAAGUUAUAUCAUUACAUAUGCGCUUUAUAACAGUCAUAAAUGACACUUUGUAAUUGUCACUAUGCGUGAAUUAUUUUUUGUAUUCGUCAAUGUUGGAUAUGCUGUCAUGGACUUUGAUAUGGUGGUAAAACCCAAAGUAUGCACUAGUACGCAUUUAGCAAUUCUUCUUUUCUGUGAAUAAGAGUAGAGAUGAGAAUGAUUCUACCACUUUGCUCAAGAAAAUCAAAUUUAGGUUGGUUGAAAAUUUCGUCGAGAAUUUGGUUUAUAUCCAACGUCAAAAAAAUGAAACAGUAAUGAAUCUGGCAAGAAUUACGCAUAAUAAUUAAGUAUAUGAAAAAGUGUAAGGAGUUGUGAUGUCUAAGGUUUGGCCACACUUCCUGAAACACCCUGUGUAUUGACUAACAUAGCUUUCCUAAUUUUAGUUUUUUGAGUAUUUUUAAGAAGACCAGAAUAUUAUUGCAAUUUAUAUGUACUCGUAUACACAAAUAUAGUAAUGGGCAUCUUUCAGUCAAGUUUUAUACAACAUUUUUUCGAAAUGACUCCGUUGGGUUGUUUGGUAUACAUAAAUCUAUUACUCGUUAGGUUACUCUUUUGCCAGAAUUUUUCGAAAAUUUAUUACCGUUCAAGAAAACUAGUUGGCAAAAGCAUUCAUUUUUUUCAGGCAUUUUCUGUAAGCAACAGCUGAAAAUAAAUUUGCUUCAUGAGCCAGGACAUGGUUGGACUUAUCCUUAAAUACUCAGGUGAGAAUUUUCUUCUCAAUAAUUUGCUAUUAGCAUUUACUAAAUUAAAUAAAUGUACAGAGGGAAACAAACCCAAUAUGUUGGACAACUGCGCUGAAUAUUUUCGUAUUGAUUUUGACAUCCGACCUGAACAUUUUCAGCUGUCAACGUUUUUGGGUUUUAUUCAAAGCAUAAUAAUAUUUAGUUAAGUACUUACUUCGGCCUUCUCCAUCUCUAGAGUAAAAAUCACUGUUAAAAGUCAAAAGUUUCACAACAAAAUUAUUACAGUAAAAUGUAUUAGUACAGACACAUUUAUUUAUAUGGUAACAUUAAACAUAAAGAAGUUAUCAGCAGAUAAUAGUUGAGGCUGACGUCAUGUCAGUUCCGUGCACAUAUCAAACACACUUCCGGUUUACUCAACAUCUUUAUCUAAUAAAUCGUUUUGUAAAAAUGAUGUUUCUAAUUUCAAAAUUAGGAUCACUCCUACAAGGAAAACAGUAUUGAAGGUCCAUCGUCUAAUUUCUCAUUUUAAAUCAUUUUUAUUUUAAACUGAUGCUUUUUCGGUCGUCGCACCAUAGUUUCCGUUUUAUUGAAUGUCAUAAUAGUUCUGCAUUCACCACAAUAUAUUUUGAAUUUUUUCACUUAGAUGUAGGUAAAUAUUUAUGUGUGGAUAAUAAUAAUAUAAGGACCUUCACUGCUGGCGAGAAAUUGUUGUCAUUGGAGAAUUCUAAUUUAAUAUCUACCUUCUUGAAAGCAAAGUGUGAUUCGAGAGGUUGGGAAGAGGGGUUUAUUCAAAUAAUCUCGCCGAAGUUUUUUUUAUAUAAAUCAUAAGUGCGGUAUAUUGUCGUUCAGUAAAUUAAUUUUGUACCAUUUCGUCUGAAUAAAAUAAAGUGAAUUCUUAUUAACACUGCUUUGUUGAAAUAAUUUAUGUUACCUACUUGUUGAUGAAUCUAGUUAUUAAUUAAUAAUAUAAUUCAGUUCUUCCUAAAAAUUCCGGCACCCUUUCCUAUACUUUUCCUUUUUCUUCAAAAGUUAUUUUUUUAAUUCCACCUUCAAACAGCAAUUAUUUCAAUCAUAACAGGCAUAAUACUCCAUUUUAUUUAGUAUAUAAUUCAAGUAUUUUUGGAUCAAGUGCUUGAGACUAACCGCCAUAAGUACCGUUUUGGGUUUUCUGCCUGUUUGCUUACCGUUUUUGAAUCACCGUUCCCGAGCGAAAACCCGAAGAACCCUGACCCGUUGAGCACGCGUGUCGCCGUACCGUCUCCGCUCGAUUUCCCGUUCCAGGAUCGCCGCCCCCAGGUAGGAGGAGCCAUCCCGAAGGAAGCCACCGUCCAGGAGGAAACAACCAUGUGUUAUUUUUUUUUCUUGAAGUUCAAACCGAAUUGUGAUAUAAUUUGUAAUAAUUAAUCAUAACAUUAUUUUAGCCGUGUAACUGGUGGUAGGGAAUAAAAACCUGAUUAUUGUUAAAGA
Molecule: long non-coding RNA, 11671 nt
Organism: Zophobas morio
Lineage: Eukaryota; Metazoa; Arthropoda; Insecta; Coleoptera; Tenebrionidae
Exons: 2
Source: RefSeq, a predicted model, not a curated record